GUCUAUAGCCAUACAGCCCUGAACAUGCCCGAUCUCAGCUGAUCUCAGAAGCUAAGCAGGGUCGGGCCUGGUUAAUACUUGGAUGGGAGAAAUCCAGGUACUUGAAAAG
Molecule: non-coding RNA, 109 nt
Organism: Erinaceus europaeus (western European hedgehog)
Lineage: Eukaryota; Metazoa; Chordata; Mammalia; Eulipotyphla; Erinaceidae
Source: Rfam